This 368-nucleotide ribosomal RNA is filed under the name uncultured soil bacterium. Its description in RNAcentral is "bacterial SSU rRNA". It matches the Rfam family "Bacterial small subunit ribosomal RNA", at positions 26 to 387 of the family's 1533-position model. The record is from RNAcentral.
AGAUUGAACGCUGGCGGCAGGCCUAACACAUGCAAGUCGAGCGGCAGCACGGGUACUUGUACCUGGUGGCGAGCGGCGGACGGGUGAGUAAUGCCUAGGAAUCUGCCUGGUAGUGGGGGAUAACGCUCGGAAACGGACGCUAAUACCGCAUACGUCCUACGGGAGAAAGCAGGGGACCUUCGGGCCUUGCGCUAUCAGAUGAGCCUAGGUCGGAUUAGCUAGUUGGUGAGGUAAUGGCUCACCAAGGCGACGAUCCGUAACUGGUCUGAGAGGAUGAUCAGUCACACUGGAACUGAGACACGGUCCGAGACGUCCGUACGGAGGCGAGCGAGUGGGAAUAAUUGGACGAAUGGGCGAAAGCCGUGUAU